RNAcentral lists this ribosomal RNA (916 nucleotides) under uncultured bacterium. Its description in RNAcentral is "bacterial SSU rRNA". It matches the Rfam family "Bacterial small subunit ribosomal RNA", at positions 33 to 933 of the family's 1533-position model. The record is from RNAcentral.
ACGCUGGCGGCGUGCCUAAUACAUGCAAGUAGAACGCUGAAGGAGGAGCUUGCUUCUCUGGAUGAGUUGCGAACGGGUGAGUAACGCGUAGGUAACCUGCCUGGUAGCGGGGGAUAACUAUUGGAAACGAUAGCUAAUACCGCAUAAUAGUAGAAGUUGCAUGACAUUUGCUUAAAAGGUGCAAUUGCAUCACUACCAGAUGGACCUGCGUUGUAUUAGCUAGUUGGUGGGGUAACGGCUCACCAAGGCGACGAUACAUAGCCGACCUGAGAGGGUGAUCGGCCACACUGGGACUGAGACACGGCCUAGACUCCUACGGGAGGCAGCAGUAGGGAAUCUUCGGCAAUGGACGGAAGUCUGACCGAGCAACGCCGCGUGAGUGAAGAAGGUUUUCGGAUCGUAAAGCUCUGUUGUAAGAGAAGAACGAGUGUGAGAGUGGAAAGUUCACACUGUGACGGUAUCUUACCAGAAAGGGACGGCUAACUACGUGCCAGCAGCCGCGGUAAUACGUAGGUCCCGAGCGUUGUCCGGAUUUAUUGGGCGUAAAGCGAGCGCAGGCGGUUAGAUAAGUCUGAAGUUAAAGGCUGUGGCUUAACCAUAGUACGCUUUGGAAACUGUUUAACUUGAGUGCAAGAGGGGAGAGUGGAAUUCCAUGUGUAGCGGUGAAAUGCGUAGAUAUAUGGAGGAACACCGGUGGCGAAAGCGGCUCUCUGGCUUGUAACUGACGCUGAGGCUCGAAAGCGUGGGGAGCAAACAGGAUUAGAUACCCUGGUAGUCCACGCCGUAAACGAUGAGUGCUAGGUGUUAGACCCUUUCCGGGGUUUAGUGCCGCAGCUAACGCAUUAAGCACUCCGCCUGGGGAGUACGACCGCAAGGUUGAAACUCAAAGGAAUUGACGGGGGCCCGCACAAGCGGU